UCCCUCUUAGCUCAGUGGUAGAGCGCGUCACUAGUAUUAGAUAAGCAUGUGGCUUACGUAAUGCGAUGACGAGGUCAGUCGUUCAAAUCGGCUAGCGGGAA
This is a non-coding RNA of Ceratobasidium sp. AG-I, 101 nucleotides long. The record is from the annotation of a GenBank genome assembly. Lineage: Eukaryota; Fungi; Basidiomycota; Agaricomycetes; Cantharellales; Ceratobasidiaceae.